AAAAGGUGGCUAUGCUACCGCUUUUGGAUGGGCCCGCGGCGCAUUAGCUAGUUGGUGGGGUAAAGGCUUACCAAGGCAAUGAUGCGUAGCCGAACUGAGAGGUUGAUCGGCCACAUUGGGACUGAGACACGGCCCAAACUCCUACGGGAGGCAGCAGUAGGGAAUCUUCCACAAUGGGCGAAAGCCUGAUGGAGCAACGCCGCGUGGGUGAAGAAGGUCUUCGGAUCGUAAAACCCUGUUGUUAGAGAAGAAAGUGCGUGAGAGUAACUGUUCACGUUUCGACGGUAUCUAACCAGAAAGCCACGGCUAACUACGUGCCAGCAGCCGCGGUAAUACGUAGGUGGCAAGCGUUAUCCGGAUCUAUUGGGCGUAAAGGGAACGCAGGCGGUCUUUUAAGUCUGAUGUGAAAGCCUUCGGCUUAACCGGAGUAGUGCAUUGGAAACUGGGAGACUUGAGUGCAGAAGAGGAGAGUGGAACUCCAUGUGUAGCGGUGAAAUGCGUAGAUAUAUGGAAGAACACCAGUGGCGAAAGCGGCUCUCUGGUCUGUAACUGACGCUGAGGUUCGAAAGCGUGGGUAGCAAACAGGAUUAGAUACCCUGGUAGUCCACGCCGUAAACGAUGAAUGCUAAGUGUUGGAGGGUUUCCGCCCUUCA
This 653-nucleotide ribosomal RNA is filed under the name uncultured bacterium. Its description in RNAcentral is "bacterial SSU rRNA". It matches the Rfam family "Bacterial small subunit ribosomal RNA", at positions 202 to 842 of the family's 1533-position model. The record is from RNAcentral.